Non-coding RNA from Cyanistes caeruleus (blue tit), 404 nucleotides. The record is from RefSeq and is a predicted model, not a curated record. Lineage: Eukaryota; Metazoa; Chordata; Aves; Passeriformes; Paridae.
UCGUGAGGGGUUUGAACGUGGCUCGGUGGGAAUGAGGGGGUCCGGAAGGGCCCAAAAGAACCGGGGUGUCCCUGAGGGUCGGGGGGUGCUGAGCUCAGGAGUUUGUGACCCCAAAUCCCCCCAUUCCCUCCCAGACCCCCAAAGUUCCGGAGGUUCGGGAUGUCACCCGCAUCGAGCGGAUCGGCGCCCACUCCCACAUCCGCGGGCUGGGCCUGGACGAUGCCCUGGAGCCGCGACAGGUGUCCCAGGGCAUGGUGGGGCAGUUGUCCGCCCGCCGCGCCGCCGGCGUCAUCCUGGAGAUGAUCAAGGAGGGGAAAAUCGCCGGACGCGCCGUCCUGAUCGCCGGGCAGCCCGGGACGGGGAAAACGGCCAUUGCUAUGGGUUUGUGACCCCCAAAAACCCCC